RNAcentral lists this ribosomal RNA (297 nucleotides) under Triticum aestivum (bread wheat). RNAcentral describes it as "partial small subunit ribosomal RNA". The record is from RNAcentral. Lineage: Eukaryota; Viridiplantae; Streptophyta; Magnoliopsida; Poales; Poaceae.
UUGAAGGGUAAAUUGAAGAUGUCUUGGCCGAGUUGGGAUAGAAUAAGGCUUCCUAAGUCGAAGGGUGGCAUGCGAUUUAGAGAUAUGAGGGCCUUUAACCAGGCCUUGCUCGCCAAACAAGCUUGGAGAUUAACUAAUAGUCCAGACAACCUAUGUGCCCGCCUUCUGCGUGCCAAGUACUAUCCCCGAGGUAAUAUGCUAGAUACAGUUUUCUCCGGUAAUGCGUCAGCAGUGUGGAAGGGGAUCGAGCAUGGCCUUGAUCUCGUUAAAAAAAAGAUUAAUAUGGUGUGUGGUUGA